This is a non-coding RNA of Burkholderia sp. AD24, 85 nucleotides long. NCBI's taxonomy places the organism in Bacteria, Pseudomonadati, Pseudomonadota, Betaproteobacteria, Burkholderiales, Burkholderiaceae. The record is from Rfam.
UCGAUUAUUACCGCCGCGAAAAUCUCGGCGGGAUAGCUAUUGAGUUGACAAUACGCAAUCACAACCCGCCCAGAAGGCGGGUUUC